Molecule: transfer RNA, 85 nt
Filed under: Pseudomonadota bacterium
Lineage: Bacteria; Pseudomonadati; Pseudomonadota
Also listed under: 3 other names
Description: Proteobacteria bacterium tRNA-Leu
Rfam family: tRNA
About the family: Transfer RNA (tRNA) molecules are approximately 80 nucleotides in length. Their secondary structure includes four short double-helical elements and three loops (D, anti-codon, and T loops). Further hydrogen bonds mediate the characteristic L-shaped molecular structure. tRNAs have two regions of fundamental functional importance: the anti-codon, which is responsible for specific mRNA codon recognition, and the 3' end, to which the tRNAs corresponding amino acid is attached (by aminoacyl-tRNA synthetases). tRNAs cope with the degeneracy of the genetic code in two manners: having more than one tRNA (with a specific anti-codon) for a particular amino acid; and 'wobble' base-pairing, i.e. permitting non-standard base-pairing at the 3rd anti-codon position.
Source: RNAcentral
GCGGGCGUGGCGAAACUGGUAGACGCGCGAGAUUUAGGUUCUCGUGAGCUUGCUCGUGGGGGUUCAAGUCCCUCCGCCCGCACCA